CUUGGUCAUUUAGAGGAAGUAAAAGUCGUAACAAGGUUUCCGUAGGUGAACCUGCGGAAGGAUCAUUAGUGAACGCCCUCACGGGCUUAUAACUAUUCCAAACCUCUGUGAACCGUGCCCUUCGGGGCUAUUUUACAAACAUGGUGUAAUGAACGUCAUAUAUCAUGACAAAACAAAACUUUCAACAACGGAUCUCUUGGCUCUCGCAUCGAUGAAGAACGCAGCGAAAUGCGAUAAGUAAUGUGAAUUGCAGAAUUCAGUGAAUCAUCGAAUCUUUGAACGCACCUUGCGCCCUCUGGUAUUCCGGAGGGCAUGCCUGUUUGAGUGUCAUGUAGACUCAAUCCCUCGGGUUUCCGAGGAGAUUGGACUUGGGUGUUGCCGCUCUGCCGGCUCGCCUUAAAAGACUUAGCGGGAUAGCACCGUAGUCGGCGUAAUAAGUUUCGUCGGUGAAGGUUGUGAUGACUGCUUACAAUCGCCCUCGGGCAAUUUUUGACUCUGACCUCAAAUCAGGUAGGACCACCCGCUGAACUUAAGCAUAUCAAUAAGCGGAGGA
RNAcentral lists this ribosomal RNA (553 nucleotides) under uncultured fungus. RNAcentral describes it as "eukaryotic LSU rRNA". The stretch from base 177 to 330 matches the Rfam family "5.8S ribosomal RNA". Lineage: Eukaryota; Fungi. The record is from RNAcentral.